RNAcentral lists this unclassified non-coding RNA (336 nucleotides) under soil metagenome. RNAcentral's name for it is "partial contains 5.8S ribosomal RNA, internal transcribed spacer 2, and large subunit ribosomal RNA". The stretch from base 1 to 120 matches the Rfam family "5.8S ribosomal RNA", at positions 35 to 154 of the family's 154-position model. The record is from RNAcentral.
GAUGAAGAACGUAGCGAAAUGCGAUACGUAAUGUGAAUUGCAGAAUUCAGUGAAUCAUCGAGUCUUUGAACGCACAUUGCGCCCCCUGGUAUUCCGGGGGGCAUGCCUGUCCGAGCGUCAUUGCAACCUUCAAGCGCGGCUUGUGUGUUGGGUCUCGUCCCCCGUGGACGGGCCCGAAAGGCAGUGGCGGCGUCCCGACAUGGUGCCCGAGCGUAUGGGAAUCCUCUUCCGCUCGAAUCGGCCCAUGCGGCGCUGGUCGUAACCAAAUUUUUUACCGGUUGACCUCGGAUCAGGUAGGGAUACCCGCUGAACUUAAGCAUAUCAAUAAGCGGAGGA